UACACAUCAAGCCACCUCGAGCUUCUCGGUCGAUUUGGCCGAUUUCGGCCUUUCCGGUGAAUUUUCGUCCCGUGAUCAAUCCCAAAUAUUUUUCUACGCCCGUUCUGAUGGCCUGAGUAUUUUUAAUAAACCCUACUAGGACUCUGAUCUUGAGGAAGAAUAUUUACCGAGCUUUCGGCUUCUUCGAAACAUUUCGUAAUACCGAAAUUUAGGGUUUUUCGCCCAAUUUCCGGUCUUCCUGUUGUGCUUCCUAAAGUGUCUUGCUUCAAAAAUCAUUUGAAUCAAUCUCCUACAUUGUCUGACCAUUGUCUAGUGGCAUACUUGACUCAUGGUUUAGACAAGAACAAUCUGAUCGUUCGCGACUCGACCACCCAAAGGAUACUCGACCAUUCUUUUUUUUUUUUUUUUUUAAGGGUUUCUACAGUAUCGGUCGACGUCUUAAUAGACUAUCGAUCGACACUCUCUCGUUUUCGACAUACUAACUGAUACCACUAAAAUUAUCCUAAGGAGUUUAGUCUCAUCAAAAGAGGUUCAGAUGUAGUACUUAGGGAUCGAAUCCACAAGGAGCUAGGAAACAAUUAAAUCUAGUGUUUAUUAAUUCUAAAGGUUGUAAUGUUUUAAAUGAAAUAGCAAUAGUAACUAGCGAGUAAAUGAUAAAUGUAACUUAGGUUGGAAAUGAUAUUAGAUGCAGGGCCACUAUUCAGGUGUUGGAGAUUAUAAU
RNAcentral lists this long non-coding RNA (721 nucleotides) under Brassica rapa (field mustard). RNAcentral's name for it is "long non-coding RNA (BRAP_LNC004956)". The record is from RNAcentral. Lineage: Eukaryota; Viridiplantae; Streptophyta; Magnoliopsida; Brassicales; Brassicaceae.